AUUAGGAUUUGAUUUAGGAUUUAGGAUUUGGUUUAGGAUUUGGUUGGAGUUUAUUUAGGAUUUAGGAUUUGGUUAGAAUUCGGUUUAAGAUUUAGGAUUUGGAUUAGGAUUUGAUUAGGAUUUGAUUUAGGAUUUAGGAUUUAGUUAGGGUUUAAUUUAGGAUUUAGGAUUUGAUUAGAAUUUGAUUUAGGAUUUAGGAUUUGGAUUAGGAUUUGGUUAGGGUUUGAUUUAGGGUGUAGGAUUUGGAUUAGAGUUUGAUUAGGGUUUGAUUUAGAAUUUAGGGUUUAGUUUAGGAUUUGGUUAGGAUUUGGUUUAGAAUUUGGUUGGAAUUUGGUUUAAGGUUUGUUUAGGUUUUGAUUCAGGGUUUAGGAUUUUAUUAAGAUUUAAGAUUCAAUUGGUUUUGGCCUAAAGUUUGAAUGAAGUUCAAUAGGAUUUUAACUAGAAUUAAAUUAAGAUUGAAUUGAGAUGUAUUUGAGUGAUAUUUGUGAUCCUUCUAAUAUUUCUUUGAGAAUUCUUAUUGUUUGUUUGAAAUUUCUUUGAGGUUUUUUUGAAUUUGAUUAAGCUUGCUUAGCAUUAUUAUA
RNAcentral lists this long non-coding RNA (581 nucleotides) under Physcomitrium patens. RNAcentral's name for it is "long non-coding RNA (PPAT_LNC000285)". The record is from RNAcentral. Lineage: Eukaryota; Viridiplantae; Streptophyta; Bryopsida; Funariales; Funariaceae.